AUUUAAAUAGUUCAAUUUUUAGAAUAAUAAUUUGUGGUAUUAUAGGUGAUGCUAUUCUUUAAAUC
Molecule: transfer RNA, 65 nt
Filed under: Chalcopis glandulosa
Lineage: Eukaryota; Metazoa; Arthropoda; Insecta; Hemiptera; Pentatomidae
Description: tRNA-His
Source: RNAcentral